This 1728-nucleotide long non-coding RNA is filed under the name Neogobius melanostomus (round goby). Its description in RNAcentral is "lncRNA (ENSNMLG00000005566.1)". Lineage: Eukaryota; Metazoa; Chordata; Actinopteri; Gobiiformes; Gobiidae. The record is from RNAcentral.
GAUUUCUUUUUCUCAUUUGUCUCUCAUAGUUGAGGUUACCUAUGAUGAAAAUUACAGGCCUCUCUCAUCUUUUUAAGUGGGAGAACUUGCACAGUUGUUGGCUGACCAAAUACUUUUUUGCCCACUGUAGGUGGAGACACUGACCGUGACGUGUAGGUGGAGACACUGACCGUGACGUUGUAGGUGGAGACACUGACCUUGAGGUUGUAGGUGGAGACACUGACCGUGACGUUGUAGGUGGAGACACUGACCGUGAUGUUGUAGGUGGAGACACUGACCUUGAGGUUGUAGGUGGAGACACUGACCGUGAUGUUGUAGGUGGAGACACUGACCUUGAGGUUGUAGGUGGAGACACUGACCGUGAUGUUGUAGGUGGAGACACUGACCUUGAGGUUGUAGGUGGAGACACUGACCGUGAUGUUGUAGGUGGAGGCACUGACCUUGAGGUUGUAGGUGGAGACACUGACCGUGACGUUGUAGGUGGAGACACUGACCUUCAGGUUGUAGGUGGAGACACUGACCUUCAGGUUGUAGGUGGUGACCAGCAGCUGGAUGUUCUUGGGGUUUCCGUGCUGCAGCGUCAGGUCAAAAGUGAGCGGCGGCGUCGGAGCGUGGGGCGGUGCUCUCGUUGGCGUGGGACAGCCUCAUGUGCGACACCAUCUUCUCCACGUCGUUGAAGGUGGCGCGGCAGAACGGGCAGGACAGACCGUGGAUCAGCAUGUGUUCAGCAGCGUGUCGCUCGGCAGGUAACGGUUUACAGUACAGACAUUUACUGGUGAAGUUAUGGAUCUUCAUGAUGUAGUUGGCCACGGCAGGAACCUUCUGCGCCUGGUGCUCCUUGGCGAAGUGGGCGGAGUACACGUUGUCGGGGAACAGCUCGUUGCAGAUGGUGCAGAUCUUCCACUUCUGGGUGACGGCGGCUCCGAGCAGAGCGCCGCGUUUGGCCGUUACCGAGGCGACGGUGGUGGCAGCCGCCUGCACGCGGGAGCCCAGGGGGUUGGACUUGAGGGCGGAGCUUCCCAGAGCGAUGGCGCCUCGGAGGCCGGCUCCGCUCUGCAGCUGUUUGGCGGCGGCCGAUUGGUGCGGCACGAACACGUGGGCGUUCCCCGGGAGCCCGCCCCUCAACGCCUGGCCGCCCACGCUGACCCCGCCCCUCGCCGUCAGCCCGCCCCCGUCAGCACCUUCAGGUCUUUGAGUCCGGACAGCAGCGUGGGUUUAGGCGCGGUGGGCGCCCCCGUCCUGCCGGGCAGCGCUGAGGUCAGCCCUGAGGACAGAGAGCGCGUGGAGGCGAGCACCGCCCCCUUCGGGCCCAUCCCGAUCACCGUCUUCUCACUCAGAGCUUUGGGCGGAGCCAAGACCAUGGCUUUAGGGCGCGGCACGAUCACGCUCGUGUGGCCGAUCAUCGCCGUCACCUGGGAGGAGAGGAGGAGGGGCUUAAUAUACGAGGAGGAGGAGCUUUAGUAUCAUUGGACCAAAGGAAACACUGAUGAAGCUCCCAUUCUCUAACCCUCUAAUCCCAAUAAAAUAAUGAUCAGAAAUAUAAAUCUGUCGAACCUCCAACCCCUCCUGAACCGAGCAAAUGUUCUCCAGCUUUACCCAAAUCUAAAAGCUUCUGGAAAAAGUGUCAAAAUAGCGACUAAAACGGGGAUGAAAAUGUGACAAAAACGUAACACAAGGAAGAAGAUCCAUUUAGAUGAGUUUUGUAGGUCUUCGCUUUCAGGCUCUGGC